RNAcentral lists this long non-coding RNA (803 nucleotides) under Musa acuminata (dwarf banana). RNAcentral describes it as "long non-coding RNA (MACU_LNC007967)". The record is from RNAcentral. Lineage: Eukaryota; Viridiplantae; Streptophyta; Magnoliopsida; Zingiberales; Musaceae.
UACCCGAGUAACUGAAGUAAGUAACCCAGCCUACCCUAGGUAUGAUAGAAGUAGAAGAAGGUUUACCAACCCCUAGUAAACACAUAGCUUCCCUUUUGCCCCAACCCACUCAAUAAGUACUUACAGCUACUCAGCAUACAAAUCCGCCCCUUAUGGGUUAAAGGCCCCAACAAGUCGUAUUGAAUAGAGGCAUCCUUCCCCUCUUGCUACAAAGACAGAUUCAAAAAGCAAGUAAGUAAACCAUCCACACAAGCAAGUAAGUAAUAAACAAAAGGCACUGAAGCCUACCCGACCCGAGUCAAAGAAUUCCACCAGUAAAUCCAAUACUAUAGCCACUAACCGGUCUUCUUCUCUGCCAUCUAGGGCAACUAAGUAGUUCAAGUCAUUAUUUCACUCAGUAGUAACAGAAAGUCAGAGAUAAACUCAUAAGUAGGAAUGGAAUUAUUGGCCCUUAUAUUAAGUAGGAGAAGUAGAUGAGCUAGAUAACGAUUCCUGCCCUGUCAAAAGGACAAGCAAAUGCACCCUAAAUUCUUAUAUUCGUAAGAAAACUCCAUUCUUAAAGGAAGGAAAGAGCAACCAAGCAACAGUAGCAAGAGGUAUAGUCAUUCUCAGUAUCAGUAUGAACCCUUACUCUUUCUACUUGCCCGAUCUAGUAGUAGCUAGGCGGGAUGAAACAAUAAAGUAGGAAAGUCAGAGACGAGCAGACAAGCCGAACUCCAGUCCGAUCCUAUUUCUCUAUUUGCUAUGAGCCAAGUAACGACUAGAAAAGUGUUACAGAAGUAAGCAUACUGAGGCCAAGCUAC